UUGCUGGUGUCUGACUUACGACAGACCAAAAGGGAAUGCGACAGGCGAUAACUUGGGGGCAUCGCGCCCCCGUGGGCAACCUGAAAGCAGCCGCCCCCGCGACCGUGACCGGAGAGGUCGCCCGAAGGCCACUGGUGCCCUUUCAAAGGGGGCCGGGAAGGCGGGCGGCCGGGAACCCUCCGCAAGCCGGGAGACCUGCCAGCAAC
RNAcentral lists this non-coding RNA (206 nucleotides) under zebrafish metagenome. The record is from RNAcentral.